CCUACGGGAGGCUGCAGUAGGGAAUCUUUCACAAUGGGCGAAAGCCUGAUGGAGCAACGCCGCGUGCAGGAUGAAGGCCUUCGGGUUGUAAACUGCUUUUAUAAGCGAGAAAUAUGAUGGUAACUUAUGAAUAAGGAUCGGCUAACUACGUGCCAGCAGCCGCGGUCAUACGUAGGAUCCGAGCAUUAUCCGGGGUGACUGGGUGUAAAGAGUUGCGUAGGUGGCAUAAUAAGUAGCUAGUGAAAUCUGGUGGCUCAACCAUUCAGACUAUUAGCUAAACUGUUAAGCUCGAGACCGUUAGGGGUAACUGGAAGUUCUAGUGUAGGAGUGAAAUGCGUAGAUAUUAGAAGGAACACCAAUAGCGUAGGCAGGUUACUGGGACGGUUCUGACACUAAGGCACGAAAGCGUAGGGAGCAAACGGGAUUAGAUACCCGGGUAGUC
RNAcentral lists this ribosomal RNA (442 nucleotides) under uncultured bacterium. Its description in RNAcentral is "partial 16S ribosomal RNA". It matches the Rfam family "Bacterial small subunit ribosomal RNA", at positions 338 to 795 of the family's 1533-position model. The record is from RNAcentral.